CUGUGAUAUUCUCCUGGACCUCUUCUCCUGCUUUAAAUACUCUUCUUCGUUUGUAGAAACAGCAGGAGAAGAGGUCCAGGAGAAUAUCACAG
Non-coding RNA from Pelobates cultripes (western spadefoot toad), 92 nucleotides. Lineage: Eukaryota; Metazoa; Chordata; Amphibia; Anura; Pelobatidae. The record is from the annotation of a GenBank genome assembly.